This is a long non-coding RNA of Acipenser ruthenus (sterlet), 4903 nucleotides long. RefSeq lists it as uncharacterized. NCBI's taxonomy places the organism in Eukaryota, Metazoa, Chordata, Actinopteri, Acipenseriformes, Acipenseridae. The transcript has 3 exons. The record is from RefSeq and is a predicted model, not a curated record.
UAGGGACUGGAGCAUGUGAGCCGAUCAGCGGCACCUAGCGGAGAAACAUAGAACUGGUUGUGGUGCAGCCCAGGAAAUUACGCCCUCGCCAAACAUUGGAACAGUUACUGAGGGCUUCUCUGGGUCUAAGAGUGACGGCAGGGAGGCUUCACUGUCCUCUCUCGCCUCAGGGUCAUUGACAAGCCAGCAUUUAAAGGUCAAUCUUCGACAAUGGAUGUCAGGGACCUCUGCACCGCCCGAGAGACUUCCAGUCAAUGUCAUCUGCCAAGAUCAACUGGACUAAGAGCUGUGCCCUGCUGGUGGGGGAAUGGAGGGGCUGCAGGCCCCUGGACCUGCCAGCUGGGCUGCACUGGAGACGAGACGGCUUCAAAUACCGAGUGGAAGAACUGGGUUGUUCAAGGUUGUCCCAAUUGUUUCUUCUAACUUAGCUUGUGUUUUUGAUACAAAUUAGAAGAAACAAUUGGGGGAACCUUGGCCCCCAUCGGUUUUACAGUUGUGCCUAUUUGCUUUGUGCUGGGCAAGGUUGUCCCAAUGGUUUCUUGAAACUUGACUUGUUUUUUUGAUAUCUCUACUUUAAAUGGCUGGGCACUUUUGAUAAAUUGGUGUUUUUUCACAUUUCCAGUGUGUUUUUGUUUCAGAUGUACAUAUGCAUGGAUAAAAGUGCCUGGGGUCUGCAAAAAUCUGCAAAAAAUACAUCUGGAGAAAAAGAAAAAGAAGAAGGAGAUGGAGAUGGACAUUUUUACCUUCCUUUGGCGACUUAUUUCUCUUACUGUAUGACAGGUAUUUACUUUUUUUUUCUACAUUUCACACAAGAGUGUUGGGAACUACAAAUUAAAAGUGAAAUGGUGUUUUGGCUGAUUUACUUUUGCUGUGCCAAUACCCUGAAAACACAUAAACUAUCCGUGUUGUAUAGAUAGUCACUGGCGUUCUCGCGCGUCGCUGUAACUUGGCAAGAGUAACUACCGUUCCUCUCGAUAUAUGGUCAGGGAAAUAUUGGAGGUUGGAGAAUAGUUAAAUAUUAAUUAUACAAAAUUGUAGUACAUACUGGUGAGCUUUGACUUUUGUGUAAUGUCCAGCUGCAGUUUGAUACUAGGAAUGAGAUGAGAUUGAAUUUUACAAACUGGUUUCAUAGUGCAGAUGGCAUUUGGUUUAGUGGGGAAAAAACAGCAUAUACUAUCCUUUUCUAACAGACACACACUUCUAUGCAAUCUGUGUUAUUCAGGCAGAAUCAUUAAAGCAUCGUUAAUGAUUAAUGUUUGCGCUCUGUUCAAACCCAGACUUGCAAUAUAUUAUUGUAAAGUGUAAUUUAAAUAUGCAGUCACUAAGACAUUGAAUGAGCUGCCUGAGGACUGCACACAUAUUUAUCAGGGUACAUUUACAUUGUUCCUGUGAUUUUUCAUGCUGCUGUCAUGCUUUGUUGUCAUGAUUGACAACUUACAAGUCUUCUGGAUAUUGUGCUCUUUUCCCAGUUUAUUAAAGAUCGAAUAGCUUCAAAUUUCAUUCUCAUAUUGUUUUAAACUGUUACCUUUGUUUUAAACCCUUUUCUAUGAUGCUUGGAAUCAUUCUGAGUAGUUCUUAAUGUAAUAUCAGAAAUAUACGAUUUAAUUUUGAUGUGCUUUCAUCUGCGUUCAGUAGUGGUUUAGUUGCCUGUCAUAGAUAUGUCAAAGUGUGUAUGUACAGUAGAUGAAAGAGGCACUUUUUAUCACAUAUUUUUUGGUUUUUCCGGCAUUACUCAGUAGUGCUCUAGUCCAAAUAUUUCUUGUGCUUAUUUAAAUAAAGACACUUUGGCUGAUCUAGCCGAUGUUACAUGUGCCUAUAGCAGCCAACUAUCACUGAAGAGUAGCUCAGAACUCAAGCACCUUAACACAAAUGGAAAAAAAACUCAACACUGGAGUAAUUGCAGUAAGAACCACUCAAAAUGAAAAUGGAAUUUGAACUCUUUAAACUUGAACCCCUGUAAUGUGCAGUUUGAAUGAUUUUGUGUAUCAGGUUUAUAGAUUAUGGCCACAUCAAGUACAGAGGCCCCAAAACAUGCCACUUGACAGUGCAUUCCAGGUGCUAAGUCUAGAUUUUCCUGGUGGCAGUGCUAUAAUGAGAAUGGAGUAUACUUCAAACUUACAUGACCUAACACCUCCAUAGAAAACAGGUGAAAUUGACACUGUCUGCUAAUAGCUUUACACCAUUAAAAUACUUGUCACUGGGUGAAGCACUGUUUAACCCCGGUUUUCAUUACCAGAGCUGUGCAAAUUUUUUUUCAUAUCCAAGUCAAUUUCAGUAAUUCAUGUAGUUUAUGUAACAGACUUUGGCUGGAUGCAGACUAGCAAGCAUGUACACUGCAGGUGUCUUAACCACUAUGGAAGCGAACCAGGCUGUAUGGGUUAUAGAACUUUUAAUCCCAUCUCACCGACAGGGGUUAGAAUCCGUAACAAAAGUGCACCACGCAACCCUGUCACUACAGUUACUUUCUUGGUCUUCUAAGAUACCAGUCUUGGGAAUAUUUUGUGCUGGGAAAUGCAUAUCUUGUGGCUUAUUAUUGGUUGCUAAGGCAAGUCUAUUCUGUAUCCGAGCAAGGAGUAAUGAUAAGGAGAUGAUGGUGAAGAAUUGUGGACCUAUUGACAUCUAAAAACUGUACUGUGUAGGCCAGGCUUGGACAUCGACUCCAGCGCCUAGACUUUUGUUUAUUUUUAUACUGGGGUUUGACCCCUUUUCUCCAGGAAUUUAUUGUGAUAGCUCAGGUGAAACUGAGCACUCCUUGUCAAGAUUGUGUGCUGCAUCUGGUCAGAAUCUGGUCAAUCUUAAAUUUUACAAGUAAAUGUUAACAUUAACGAAAUAAGGUGGUAAAUGUCUGAAAUUCUGAAGAAAGAAAUUGCUUUUCGGCAUUUACUGGUUAAUCUUAUGAUUUACCGAAGUGUAUUGGUAGAUGCAGGUAUAUCAUCGAAGAAUGUAUUUAUUCCUGCAUAUAAAUUGUCAAUUAACAAAAUAAUCAUUAAUGUCAAACAAUAUAUUUAUUCAUGCAUACACAUUUUCCAAUAACAAAAGAAUCAUUAAUGAGCUUUAACAAAAGAAUAAUUAAUGAGCAUUAAUGCACAAUUGAGCAAUUCAACAUGGUAUUGAACAAUAUUGUAAUCCACUUAUGUAUAACAACCCUCAUUCUGGUAAAUUUGCUUAUAAAACCAUUCACAAUGGCGUUGAAGGAUAUUGUACUCCAACUACAUAGUAGUUUGAUGAAAAAUAACAUUGUGUUAAUGCAAAUUAAAUCAUUUAGUUUUUUUCAACAGAAAAUCACACUUUGGUUAUGACACAAAACGCGACAAAUACAGGCACGGCAUAGAUAUAUUUACUUACUUAUCAUUUAUUUCUUAGCAGAUGCCCUUAUCCAGGGUGACUUACAAUUGUUAAGAUUAUUACAUUAUUUUUACAUACAAUUACCCAUUUAUACAGUUGGGUUUUUACUGGAGCAAUCUAGGUAAAGUACGUUGCUCAAGGGUACAGCAGCAGUGUCCCCCACCUGGAAUUGAACCCAUGACCCUCCGGACAAGAGUCCAGAGCCCUAACCACUACUCCACACUGCUGCCCUAUUAUUGCAGCAUGGUAGACUCUUGUGGCAUUUGGAGUUCCACAGGACUCCUGAAGCCUUACAAUAUGCGAAAGCGAGACAUUUGGUCAUUAGCCAAAGGCACUUGGUUAUUCUUGAGAUUUACCGGUAAAUGUCAGAAAUAAAGAGUUAUCGUGUUUAUUUCAGAUAUUUAUCGUUUUGCUUGGUAAAUGUUGACAUUUACCAGUAGAUCUUAAGAUUUGCCAAUAUUCAGACUUUUACCAUAACAUAUGCACUGUCCAGAUUAGUCAGUCCAGACCGAUAUAAGUGAAUGAUGUAAUAAUAUAAGUAUUACAUGUGUUUAGGGGCUCGGGACUGCAAGACACCUAAGUCAGGGCUGAAGAGAGGUGUUGGGGUGGUGUGUUACAUGAACCAAACACCCUCCUAUAUCAGAGAAAGUCUACUCCGUAUGCUGUCAAUGUUGUUGAAGACAGUUGAGAUCUGCAGCAUUAUUUCCUAUCCUGUCCCAUACAUACAAUUGGAGACACAGUUAUUAAGGAAUAUAACACACUAUUCCCCUUGGUGAACAAACACAUUCCUGAUCCCUGGAUUGCGGUUGUGUAGCUUAUUUUUUUGUUUCUUCUACAAAAAUGUAAUACGUUUUGCUUUUCUGAAAUGUUCUGUGUCUUUAUAAUUAUUAACAGAAGUGUCUGUCUACCUCCACUUUACAAUAUUGCAUACCUCUAAAUAUGUGUAAAGGGUAGUUCCUUAACCCUAAAACACACAUAAUAUACAUACUGUAUACCAAAGAAGAGGGGCAGUGUUCCUUAUGCACAAGGUAAGCUACUUGUGUGGCGAGAGAAAGAAAUGAUAAAGGUUAAUGAUUGGUUAAUGCAAUGAAAUUGAUCAUUUUGGGUGUUGCCCUCUCCUGAAUUCUGCUCUCAUAGUACACAUAAUUGCUAUCGCAACGUCGACAGUCUGUGAGGUCAAUGUCACCAGACUCCCUGCUGCAGGGUAUGGUUGAUGAUGAGUCAACUUAUCAGGAAAAGGGACACUAAACUAAGACUGCUAUAGAACUGAAUGUGAAGUGACCUUCAGGGGUGGGACACUGUAAAGGGACUGUUUGGGACUGGUGGGUUGGCGUCAGGAGGGGUGGGAUUAAGGGGCGCUAUGAAAGCAGCAGUGCGCCCUCACCACGAGGAGAGCAUCAGAAUUAACUGAAGAGAUUGGUUAGCACAGAAAGGAAUAGUAGUUCCUCGCACCAAGUUAUCAGCUCUGUACAGCAAGGAAUGUUUACAUGUUUUCAGGGUAUCAGACAAAAGCACCAUUCACUUUUAAUUUGUAGUUUACAACACUCUUAGGUGGAAU